Tupaia belangeri chinensis (Chinese tree shrew) is the source of this 2192-nucleotide long non-coding RNA. RefSeq lists it as uncharacterized. Lineage: Eukaryota; Metazoa; Chordata; Mammalia; Scandentia; Tupaiidae. The transcript is spliced from 4 exons. The record is from RefSeq and is a predicted model, not a curated record.
UCAGGGAGCCCUUCUAAUCUAAAAAUUCUGGUCUCUGUUCCAUGAAAUUUUACAAUGUUAUCUCUAUAGUGAUAUUUCUCUACAGCAUCUGUUGCUUUUCCUUCUUCUGGAACUCCUUGUUUCCCAGUUUAAGUCUUCUUUCAGGAUGGGCCCUCUAGCUGGGGUCUGCUGGAACUUUCUGGGUAACUGCACGGCAUUUAAGUAAGUAAUUGGAUCAAGCUGUGUUAGGCUGUGGAGGCUGAGAAAGAUGCCUUACAGCCGGUUUCAGGACGGAGCACUGUGGGGUAACCGAGCAAUCCCUGAGCACCGUGUGCUGCAAGAUGGAUGAGGUGCAUUUGGCCCAGGUGAGCACACACAUCACAAGGCAAAAACUUAUUAAAAAUAAAUAAAUAAAUAAAAAUAAAAUAAAACCUUUAGGCCAGACCAACUACUGGGCAGGACACCACAGAUUGACGGUUUCCCAUUGUCACUGGAGGAGGAAUUUUCAAAUCACCAUUUCCUUAGAGAUGGAAACUUGGGCCAGCAGCUGUGGACCUGCCUGUCCCCAUAACAUACCUUGUCUUCCUGCCAGGGAGGAAUGGUGAGAGGCCAUCCUCCCAGCUGGGCUGCGUUCUGCGAUGAGACCCAAACUGCACGAUGCCUCUGCUCUGAAGAAGGGACAUUUGGCCUUUGGAAAAACAGUGUUCCCAGAACGUAGAGCAGACUAAACUAUUUUUAUGGUAUGGAAUGUUUUUCUUAACUGUAGUUGGGAUAAGAAAGUUGGGCAAAAACAAGAGGCUUGAUCAUCCUUUUGUAAGUGUGUUCACUCACUGCAACACAACCAUCUGAAGACAUCAUUUUCAAAUUGAACAAGAGGACCACGAAAGGCUCAUGGAAAAAAUGAGAUUACAGUACAUGUUUAUUUUGGUGAAUCUACACAUUUUUUUUCAUAGUGAAUAUUUUCCAUGAACCUUUGAAGAGCCUUCGCAUACUUUCAAAUAUUGCUUUUAUUUGUGAAAAUGAGAUGAGGGAGGUGGUGAGAAAGAAAAAGCAGAAUAGGAAACAGAGCUAGAAAAAUAAUACACUAAAAAAGAAAAAAGUUAAGAAUUAUGCAUUGUUGUAAUGUCCUAGAACUUUUCAUACUGAACAUGAGACCUGUUACUGGUUUUCCGAUUCCUAGUCUUUCUUUGCCAUCGUUAAGAUUCUUUAAAGGUUCCAAGGAAGGUCAUUGAUAACUGAACAAUUCAGAGCUUUCAUAAUCCCUUGCUUAUGCUCUUUGAUUUUUCUCAGAUCACUGUCCAGGAUGUCCCCAUCAACAAUGGCUUAAAGAUGUCACUGAUAGUGGUCUGACUUUCAUUGUUUCCAGCAGAACUAGGCCAUUUUCCAAAUCUUCAUGAAUUUCAUACAGGUUUUAUACUUAGGUUGUGAUUUAAAUGAUGUAUUAUACAAAUUGGAUAACUCUCUGGUCAGCUCUUUGUUGCUGCAUAACCUGAAACUGGAUAAUUUUUAAGAAUAGUUUGGUUCAUGGUCUUGGAGGUCCAGGGUCAAGGGGCUCCAUCGGGGAGGGUUUUCUUGUUGGUGGAUAACGUGGUGAGGGCAUUACAUGGUAAUGUGGAGCAAGCACAUGCGUGUCUGUGUCUCUGCCAGUAUCCAAUCAUGGAGGCCCUUCCCUGAUGCCUAAUUACUUUCAAUUACUUCUCCAAAGCCCGCCUUUCAACAUCAUAAUUGGAUUUUUUAUUCUCUUAAUUCUGUUACAAUAGGAAGCAAAUCUCAACACAUGAAUUUGUUGGGGACAUGUUUAAAGCAACUACUCCAUCAACUCCUUUAUUAUUCAAUAAUACUUUCCAAAUGCUUACUAAGUGUCAGGUGCUAUGUGGGAUGUAAUGAUAAUCCUUAGUAUAGUUAUUCCUUGAAGUGUUCUCCAUUGGUGCAUAGCAGAAAUGCACUGCUUUAAGAGGAGCCAGAUCCCACAUGGUGACAUGGUUGGAAUCUCUCUCCCUCACUGCUUGAAAGGCACACCUGCAAGUGCCCAAGGUCUAACUACCUGGAAGACUGAAGAGAGAGGAUCAAUUAUGAUCAGACCCUGCAGAGGGUGCUCAACUCUCUCUCACACAUACUGUCACAUACAUGCACACACUCUAUCAAAAAUAAAGCAGGACAAAUAUUCUCCUUGCUUUUAUUUAUUUAUUUAAUUUCACCACAGAGCAUAUGCA